RNAcentral lists this microRNA precursor (82 nucleotides) under Notamacropus eugenii (tammar wallaby). RNAcentral's name for it is "miRNA (ENSMEUG00000017578.1)". The record is from RNAcentral. Lineage: Eukaryota; Metazoa; Chordata; Mammalia; Diprotodontia; Macropodidae.
UAUAUUAUGUAUAAAAUAUAUACACAUACAUAUAUGUUUACAUAUAUAAUAUAUUAUAGUAUAUAUGUAUAUUUUAUGCAUA